AGAGUUUGAUCAUGGCUCAGGAUGAACGCUAGCGGCAGGCUUAACACAUGCAAGUCGAGGGGCAGCGGGGUGUAGCAAUACACUGCCGGCGACCGGCGCACGGGUGCGUAACGCGUAUGCAACCUACCCAUAACAGGGGCAUAACACUUGAGGAAUUGGUACUAAUUCCCCAUAACAUUCGAAGAGGCAUCUCUUUGGGUUGAAAACUCCGGUGGUUAUGGAUGGGCAUGCGUUGUAUUAGCUAGUU
This 247-nucleotide ribosomal RNA is filed under the name uncultured bacterium. RNAcentral describes it as "partial 16S ribosomal RNA". It matches the Rfam family "Bacterial small subunit ribosomal RNA", at positions 8 to 250 of the family's 1533-position model. The record is from RNAcentral.